Molecule: ribosomal RNA, 491 nt
Filed under: uncultured bacterium
Lineage: Bacteria
Description: partial 16S ribosomal RNA
Rfam family: Bacterial small subunit ribosomal RNA
Source: RNAcentral
GUGAACGCUGGCGGUAGGCCUAACACAUGCAAGUCGAACGGCAGCACAGUAAGAGCUUGCUCUUACGGGUGGCGAGUGGCGGACGGGUGAGGAAUACAUCGGAAUCUACUUUUUCGUGGGGGAUAACGUAGGGAAACUUACGCUAAUACCGCAUACGACCUACGGGUGAAAGCAGGGGAUCUUCGGACCUUGCGCGAUUGAAUGAGCCGAUGUCGGAUUAGCUAGUUGGCGGGGUAAAGGCCCACCAAGGCGACGAUCCGUAGCUGGUCUGAGAGGAUGAUCAGCCACACUGGAACUGAGACACGGUCCAGACUCCUACGGGAGGCAGCAGUGGGGAAUAUUGGACAAUGGGCGCAAGCCUGAUCCAGCCAUACCGCGUGGGUGAAGAAGGCCUUCGGGUUGUAGAGCCCUUUUGUUGGGAAAGAAAAGCAGCAGGUUAAUACCCCGCUGUUCUGACGGUACCCAAAGAAUAAGCACCGGCUAACUUCGUG